GAUGAACGCUGGCGGCGUGCCUAAUACAUGCAAGUCGAGCGAACGGACGAGAAGCUUGUUUCUCUGAUGUUAGCGGCGGACGGGUGAGUAACACGUGGAUAACCUACCUAUAAGACUGGGAUAACUUCGGGAAACCGGAGCUAAUACCGGAUGAUAUUUUGAACCGCAUGGUUCAAAAGUGAAAGACGGUCUUGCUGUCCCUUAUAGUUGGACCCGCGUUGCUUUAGCUAGUUGGUAAGGUAACGGCUUACCAAGGCAACGAUGAUUAGCCGACCGGAAAGGGUGAUCGGCCACACGGGAACGGAGAAACGGUCCAGACUCCUACGGGAGGCAGCAGUAGGGAAUCUUCCGCAAUGGGCGAAAGCCUGACGGAGCAACGCCGCGUGAGGGAUGAAGGUCUUCGGAUCGUAAAACUCUGUUAUUAGGGAAGAACAUAGGUGUAAGUAACUGUGCACAUCUUGACGGUACCUAAUCAGAAAGCCACGGCUAACUACGUG
RNAcentral lists this ribosomal RNA (497 nucleotides) under uncultured bacterium. Its description in RNAcentral is "partial 16S ribosomal RNA". It matches the Rfam family "Bacterial small subunit ribosomal RNA", at positions 28 to 507 of the family's 1533-position model. The record is from RNAcentral.